GUGAGAUCAGAGACAAGGAGUAAAAUGCCUGAGCUCAAGUGACAACAAGCAACCCCAGACUAGAGACAGGAUCCUUCUCCCCACUUCGAGCAGAUCCCAGCAUGAAUCCUGCAGUAUGGUGAUGGCAAAAGUCAGUGCAGGACCACUGGGACUCCUGGAGCUUCUCACAUCUCUGAGAGCACCAGCAGCAGAUCCUUAGAAUAUACACAAAGUUUUCAUGGACCACACAUUAUGAAACACUGGAUUAGCGCAAAGUGAAAUGCUUCCAGAGUAGGAGCCACUAUUCUGAGGAAUCUUGGAAGAAAAAGUAUCAAAAUAUGUUACUAUGUUUUGGGGGGAUAGAGACAGAACUUAAAAUUGAUUGAACUCCAAAUAUGGCCAAUUUUUUGGAUGAUUUAAUCUUUCCCUAAAGCUCUUUGUUUACCCAUAAAAUGUGAACUUUCCUUGACUUUGACUGGGUAUGGAGUAGAUUGAUGGUAUUGACUGAUAUUUUUGAGUGUGUAGUUUGUGGUUUUAUGAGGCAUUUUUAUAUUGUCUUUACACUUUUGGAAAGUAUAUGCAAUUGCUAAAACUUCAACGUUAUCUUUUUCUUUUGAUGAAAUAGAAAACAUCGCCCAUUUCAUCUGUUUCUUCAGUCCCCAGAUAGCAGAUGACUGGUAGGAAGAUGAGGCAAGUUUGCGGUCCAUUGUCAUGGAUAGUGGAGACAACACUGGGCCAGAAGUGGUAAGACCUGAAUCCAAGACUCAGCUCUGCCACUUGCUAAAUGGGACUUUGAAUAAACCAUUUCUCUGCACUUAAGUUCCUUACCAACAAAACGAGGGAAGUGGCCUACAUGCCUAGAUAUCAACAUUUCAUGUCACGUAGAGAUCUAGCAUCACAAGAAUCCAAGUCAUCCUCUGUUGCCUUUAAGAUUUCAGCAUGGUGAAGGAAAAGUAGCAGAAGACUGAAUGCAUACUCAGUUUUCAAGCUCUGGAUUUAAUCUUUCCAUAGCUGGAAUUGCCUCCUCCUCAAAAGCCUUAUUUGUUCAUUUAAUUGGGGCAACAUGAAAUAAUGAUGUAUCAUUGACAGAGAACAGGGGGCUUAGGUUCUCAUCUUGGUCCUAGUGAUUACUCUAUGCAUAACCUCAACUUCUUUAUCUGUACAUUGGGAACAAUAAUUCUUACUCCACUUGUUGUGUUGAAACUGAAUUAUAUAAUUCAUAAAUUAAAACACCAAAUUCUGAUAAAUGCUAAAUGCCAUUUUCUUAUCUUGUUCUUUCCUAUAAUGCCCAUUUUGAUAUAAACCAGGCUCCCUAGUCAGUCUUG
Molecule: long non-coding RNA, 1304 nt
Filed under: Homo sapiens (human)
Lineage: Eukaryota; Metazoa; Chordata; Mammalia; Primates; Hominidae
Description: HSALNT0383277
Source: RNAcentral